Molecule: non-coding RNA, 136 nt
Organism: Hordeum vulgare subsp. vulgare (domesticated barley)
Lineage: Eukaryota; Viridiplantae; Streptophyta; Magnoliopsida; Poales; Poaceae
Source: Rfam
AUAAUACUCCCUCCAUCCCAAAAUUCUAGUCUUAGAUUUGUAUAGAUAUGAAUGUAUAUUGUCAUAUUUUAGUACUUAGAUACAUCCAUUUUUAGACAAACUUAAGACAAGAAUUUUGGGAUUGGGGGAGUAUAAG